UUACUACUCCCUCCGUCCGGAAUUACUUGUCGCACAAAUGUAUAAAAAUGGAUGUAUCUAGAACUAAAAUACAUCAAGAUACAUCCAUUCCUAUGACAAGUAUUUUCAGACGGAGGGAGUAAAAA
Non-coding RNA from Hordeum vulgare subsp. vulgare (domesticated barley), 125 nucleotides. The record is from Rfam. NCBI's taxonomy places the organism in Eukaryota, Viridiplantae, Streptophyta, Magnoliopsida, Poales, Poaceae.